This is an unclassified non-coding RNA of Cercocebus atys (sooty mangabey), 95 nucleotides long. NCBI's taxonomy places the organism in Eukaryota, Metazoa, Chordata, Mammalia, Primates, Cercopithecidae. The record is from Ensembl.
CAGGACAGGUACAGCACAGGCAGCGACAGUGUGAGCUUUCUCCACACCACUUCGUCCAUGUGCCUCAACUGUGACCUAGAGGGACCACUUCUAGA